RNAcentral lists this transfer RNA (69 nucleotides) under Triticum urartu. The stretch from base 7 to 62 matches the Rfam family "tRNA", at positions 10 to 63 of the family's 71-position model. From Rfam's summary of the family: Transfer RNA (tRNA) molecules are approximately 80 nucleotides in length. Their secondary structure includes four short double-helical elements and three loops (D, anti-codon, and T loops). Further hydrogen bonds mediate the characteristic L-shaped molecular structure. tRNAs have two regions of fundamental functional importance: the anti-codon, which is responsible for specific mRNA codon recognition, and the 3' end, to which the tRNAs corresponding amino acid is attached (by aminoacyl-tRNA synthetases). tRNAs cope with the degeneracy of the genetic code in two manners: having more than one tRNA (with a specific anti-codon) for a particular amino acid; and 'wobble' base-pairing, i.e. permitting non-standard base-pairing at the 3rd anti-codon position. Lineage: Eukaryota; Viridiplantae; Streptophyta; Magnoliopsida; Poales; Poaceae. The record is from Rfam by way of RNAcentral.
UCCACUACUCAGUUGGUAGAGUACAAAGAUCUUAACAUUGUGGAUGUGGGUUCAAGCCCCACGGUGGAG